UCAGUCGUCUGGACUUCCUGAAAGUCGUCUGGACUUCCUGGAAGUCAUCUGGACUUCCUGGAAGUCGUCUGGACUUCCUGGAAGUCGUCUGGACUUCCUAGAAGUCGUCUGGAUUUUCUGGAAGUCUUCUGACAAAGUUUUCUUCCAUAUCAAGUGGAGUCCAAGCUUGUCUUUAUAGAAGACUGAUCUAUAAUAGUUUUGUUUGUGAUCUGUUUUGUGAAUUGCAUGUCUACUCUUUUAGUUGUGAAUUUUUUUGUAAAAUCAGUAAUAAUGUUUCCCA
This 280-nucleotide long non-coding RNA is filed under the name Brassica rapa (field mustard). Its description in RNAcentral is "long non-coding RNA (BRAP_LNC005686)". The record is from RNAcentral. Lineage: Eukaryota; Viridiplantae; Streptophyta; Magnoliopsida; Brassicales; Brassicaceae.